UACGGAGGAUGCGAGCGUUAUCCGGAUUUAUUGGGUUUAAAGGGUGCGUAGGCGGACGCUUAAGUCAGCGGUAAAAUUGCGGGGCUCAACCUCGUCGAGCCGUUGAAACUGGGUGUCUUGAGUGGGCGAGAAGUACGCGGAAUGCGUGGUGUAGCGGUGAAAUGCAUAGACAUCACGCAGAACUCCGAUUGCGAAGGCAGCGUACCGGCGCCCAACUGACGCUGAAGCACGAAGGCGUGGGUAUCGAACAGG
RNAcentral lists this ribosomal RNA (252 nucleotides) under uncultured bacterium. RNAcentral's name for it is "partial 16S ribosomal RNA". It matches the Rfam family "Bacterial small subunit ribosomal RNA", at positions 524 to 776 of the family's 1533-position model. The record is from RNAcentral.